Molecule: ribosomal RNA, 409 nt
Filed under: freshwater sediment clone ppC1rna
Lineage: Bacteria
Description: bacterial SSU rRNA
Rfam family: Bacterial small subunit ribosomal RNA
Source: RNAcentral
AUACUGAACGUUGGCGGCGUGGAUUAGGCAUGCAAGUCGCGCGAUAAAUUACUUCGGGUGAUGGAAAGCGGCGAAAGGGAGAGUAACACGCGGGUACCUACCCUCAGGACCGGGAUAGCUGCGGGAAACUGCAAUUAAUACCGGAUGAUGUCUCCGGACCAAAGGUGUGAUUCCGCCGGAGGAGGGGCCCACGUCCUAUCAGCUAGUUGGCGAGGUAAUAGCUCACCAAGGCUACGACGGGUACGGGGUGUGAGAGCAUGCCCCCGCUCACUGGGACUGAGACACUGCCCAGACACCUACGGGUGGCUGCAGUCGAGAAUCCUCCGCAAUGGGCGAAAGCCUGACGGAGCGACGCCGCGUGCGGGAUGAAGGCCUUCGGGUUGUAAACCGCUGUCAGUGGGGAAGAAAU